CCUACGGGUGGCAGCAGUAGGGAAUAUUGCACAAUGGGGGAAACCCUGAAGCAGCAACGCCGCGUGGAGGAUGAAGGUUUUCGGAUUGUAAACUCCUUUUGUUAGAGAAGAUAAUGACGGUAUCUAACGAAUAAGCACCGGCUAACUCCGGGCCAGCAGCCGCGGUAAUACGGAGGGUGCAAGCGUUACGCGGAAUCACUGGGCGUAAAGAGCGCGCAGGCGGGAUAGCAAGUCAGAUGUGAAAUCCUAUGGCUUAACCAUAGAACUGCAUUUGAAACUGUUAGUCUAGAGUAUGGGAGAGGUAGGUGGAAUUCUUGGUGUAGGGGUAAAAUGCGUAGAGAUCAGGAGGAAUACUCAUGGCGAAGGCGACCUGCUAGAACAUAACUGACGCUGAUGCGCGAAAGCGUGGGGAGCAAACAGGAUUAGAUACCCUAGUAGUC
This 440-nucleotide ribosomal RNA is filed under the name uncultured bacterium. Its description in RNAcentral is "partial 16S ribosomal RNA". It matches the Rfam family "Bacterial small subunit ribosomal RNA", at positions 338 to 795 of the family's 1533-position model. The record is from RNAcentral.